GGUAGUUCAUACAACAAAACAUUAAUCAAUCAUUAACCUUCUUACUGAUACUACUCUUAUCUUAGUACUAGUCUAUCAAGUCUCAUCACUUCACUCCAACUAUCUCGAUCUCCUAUCAAUCAAACUUCCUAAGUUAAUCACCAUUUCUAUUCCCGACUUAUCACCUAAUUUAGGACUUGAGUUCAUCAAGAAAUAAACACAUAGACAAGCACACAGAAUGACUAAACAAGUUUGAUGGCAUCUUAGCAAACAUAUUCAAAACUUUUUGUAAAAUCGGGAAAAAUA
Molecule: long non-coding RNA, 285 nt
Filed under: Salvia miltiorrhiza (redroot sage)
Lineage: Eukaryota; Viridiplantae; Streptophyta; Magnoliopsida; Lamiales; Lamiaceae
Description: long non-coding RNA (SMIL_LNC001404)
Source: RNAcentral